This 331-nucleotide ribosomal RNA is filed under the name uncultured bacterium. Its description in RNAcentral is "bacterial SSU rRNA". It matches the Rfam family "Bacterial small subunit ribosomal RNA", at positions 568 to 898 of the family's 1533-position model. The record is from RNAcentral.
CAUGUAGGCGGGGUUUUAAGUCGGUGGUGAAAUUUUCCCGCUCAACGGGAAAAUUGCCGCCGAAACUGAGACUCUUGAGGACAGGAGGGGAGAGUGGAAUUGCUGGUGUAGCGGUGAAAUGCGUAGAGAUCAGCAAGAACACCCGUGGCGAAGGCGGCUCUCUAGACUGUUCCUGACGCUGAGAUGCGAAAGCCAGGGGAGCGAACGGGAUUAGAUACCCCGGUAGUCCUGGCCGUAAACUAUGGUCACUAGGUGUCGGGAGAUCGACCCUUUCGGCGCCGUAGCUAACGCAUUAAGUGACCCGCCUGGGGAGUACGGCCGCAAGGCUGAA